RNAcentral lists this ribosomal RNA (429 nucleotides) under Actinomycetes bacterium. RNAcentral's name for it is "Actinobacteria bacterium partial 16S ribosomal RNA". It matches the Rfam family "Bacterial small subunit ribosomal RNA", at positions 355 to 776 of the family's 1533-position model. The record is from RNAcentral. Lineage: Bacteria; Bacillati; Actinomycetota; Actinomycetes.
UAGGGAAUCUUCCGCAAUGGGCGAAAGCCUGGCGGAGCAACGCCGCGUGAGUGAUGAAGGUCUUCGGAUCGUAAAACUCUGUUAUUAGGGAAGAACAAAUGUGUAAGUAACUAUGCACGUCUUGACGGUACCUAAUCAGAAAGCCACGGCUAACUACGUGCCAGCAGCCGCGGUAAUACGUAGGUGGCAAGCGUUAUCCGGAAUUAUUAGGCGUAAAGCGCGCGUAGGCGGUUUUUUAAGUCUGAUGUGAAAGCCCACGGCUCAACCGUGGAGGGUCAUUGGAAACUGGAAAACUUGAGUGCAGAAGAGGAAAGUGGAAUUCCAUGUGUAGCGGUGAAAUGCGCAGAGAUAUGGAGGAACACCAGUGGCGAAGGCGACUUUCUGGUCUGUAACUGACGCUGAUGUGCGAAAGCGUGGGGAUCAAACAGG